UGAACGGCGUUGAGAGGAACAAAAACGCUUUACGGAACUUUCAGAGAGCUGCCGCAUGGUGCGAGGCAGCAUUCCGACUGCGCGAUAACUCGUCCUUGAGCUGAUACGGUGAAAUCCGCUUGGCGGGCAGUAGCUGUGUUCGGGUUCUCCCGUUACAGAGAUACGCAUUGUUCGAUGCGGCAGAGGUGUACAGCGUGAGCUGUGCAUGAAUGAGAGUGGUAACACGGGUAUUUCGCUCGUCUCUAUU
Molecule: non-coding RNA, 247 nt
Filed under: Hominimerdicola alba
Lineage: Bacteria; Bacillati; Bacillota; Clostridia; Eubacteriales; Oscillospiraceae
Description: Ruminococcus albus T-box sequence
Rfam family: T-box leader
About the family: Uncharged tRNA acts as the effector for transcription antitermination of genes in the T-box leader family. T-boxes are found upstream of many aminoacyl-tRNA synthetase genes and some amino acid biosynthetic genes usually in Gram-positive bacteria.
Source: RNAcentral